RNAcentral lists this ribosomal RNA (510 nucleotides) under Miomantis paykullii. Its description in RNAcentral is "partial 16S ribosomal RNA". It matches the Rfam family "Bacterial large subunit ribosomal RNA", at positions 1832 to 2600 of the family's 2925-position model. Lineage: Eukaryota; Metazoa; Arthropoda; Insecta; Mantodea; Mantidae. The record is from RNAcentral.
GGUUUCUUGUUAAUAAUAAGAAAUUUAACCUGCCCACUGAUAAUUUAAAGGGCCGCAGUAUUUUGACUGUGCAAAGGUAGCAUAAUAAUUAGUCUUUUAAUUGAAGGCUUGAAUGAAUGGUUGGAUGAGGCAAAAGCUAUUUUAUAUUAAUAUGUUGAACUUAGAUUUUAAGUAAAAAGACUUAAAUUUAAUUAAGGGACGAGAAGACCCUAUAGAGUUUAAUAAACAUAUUUUUAAUUAAGUUAAGUAGAAUUUUUUGAUUAAGAUAUAUUGAAUUAUUUAAUUGGGGUGAUUAGAAAAUAAUAAAAACUUUUCUUUAAUAUAAAUAUUUUAAGUAAAUAAAAGAUCCAAAAAUAAUGAUUAAAAGAUUAAAUUACCUUAGGGAUAACAGCAUAAUACUUUUUAAAAGUUCAGAUUGAAAGAAGUGAUUGUGACCUCGAUGUUGGAUUAAGAUAAAUUUUGGGUGUAGAUGUUCAAAAAUUAGGUCUGUUCGACCUUUAAAAUCUUACA